Molecule: ribosomal RNA, 472 nt
Filed under: uncultured bacterium
Lineage: Bacteria
Description: bacterial SSU rRNA
Rfam family: Bacterial small subunit ribosomal RNA
Source: RNAcentral
UGGGGAAUAUUGGACAAUGGGCGAAAGCCUGAUCCAGCCAUGCCGCGUGUGUGAAGAAGGUCUUCGGAUUGUAAAGCACUUUAAGUUGGGAGGAAGGGCAGUUACCUAAUACGUGAUUGUUUUGACGUUACCCUCAGAAGCAGCACCGGCUAACUCCGUGCCAGCAGCCGCGGUAAUACGAAGGGGGCUAGCGUUGUUCGGAUUUACUGGGCGUAAAGCGCGUGUAGGCGGGUCGUUAAGUUGGGGGUGAAAUCCCGAGGCUCAACCUCGGAACUGCCUUCAAAACUGGCGACCUGGACUCAAGUAGAGGCAAGUGGAAUUGCGAGUGUAGAGGUGAAAUUCGUAGAUAUUCGCAGGAACACCAGUGGCGAAGGCGACUUGCUGGAUUUGUAGUGACGCUGAGACGCGAAAGCGUGGGGAGCAAACAGGAUUAGAUACCCUAGUAGUCCCUGAGCGGGCUGGCAAGGCGCAU